CGUAGCUCUGGUAGCACAGGACCCAUUUGCCUGCAUGGAGUGGUUCAGACCCAUUAUAGGCACAUCCCGUUCGUGGCCACAUUUGUCUGCAUUGAGCUGAUGAAAAUAUCGUCACCGUGAAGAGCAGCAAUAAAACGAGCCUGACACCCACAGCCUCGGAUGUUCCUCUGCGGAGCAGGGAGGUUCUGAUGCAGAGCGAAGCUAUGCCAGGAAAGCCUGAACCCCUCCCCAGCCCCCCAGCCCCAAGCGUUUCUCGAAGAGACUGAGCUUGGGGAUAUAAGCAAAAGAGCUCAGGGCUGCAGGACUGCGGCCCAGGUGAGCAUCAGAGGGAAGAGGGUCAUCCUUUCUAGAAGAGCCAAGCGUGCCUGCGCUGGACGGCGAUGGCGGGAACACCAAGGAAUCAAAGCUUAAGGAGAGGGCCUCUCAGGUAAGCCCUGAUCCAGCAGUGGCACCCCAGUGGGGUUACCGUGUGGGGUGGAGGGUCUCCCCACUCUUCCCACCUUAUUUAGAAGCUGUUAGAUCAACGGAACCCCUGGACAAGUAAGAGAUGCUGGGUGUACAGGGAAGGCUGCUUCAUGCGCCUCCAGGACCGGCCUUACUCAUCCGCCCCGGCUCGUGGGAAAGGAUCCCGGCACUGUCCACCUGCUUUCAUUUAAUCUCAUAAGGAUCCCAUAAGCAGGUGCUCUUAGCCACCAAUGUCUUUCUAAAUCCAGGCCCCGAGUCUCCCCAGAUUCCAGCUCCAACUUCAGACAAGGACAGGGGUUAAAGGCAGAAAAUUAAGGAAGGUAUAGAUGAAACAAUAGGCAUCUUUCGUGCCCUGACGACUAUGAAAUAGUUAGUGGUGAGUAGGCCCGACUGCCCGAAAUGCAAAUAAACAAGCGGAGGCGCGAAGACCGGCCAUUUGGUCAGUGCGGUGGGAGCCGGGGGGGCUCUCCUGCUCUCGGGAAGCAACUUCCUGACUCCAGCGUGGCACUCGUCGCGCGAAUCAGCCAACCACAGACGCACCAGAAGGGCUGCAAUCUGGCCCUGACGUGGCAGGGGUAACUGGCACUUUGUUCGCCACUGGCAAGGAGACCCGUGUUUGCAGGAAAGCGAUCCCUUUGCUAACACUCAGUACUUUUCAAAGUCAUUUCUCAAUCUUCGGAGCCUUAUGGCUACUUUUGCUCUGAGUGGAGUGCUGCGUCUGCCUUACCCACGCCUUCUGGCCUCCGGAAGCGGACUCUCUGGGUUGGCGUCUGCCUUCUACCCAUUCCCAAAUGGGAGGCCUUGAACAAAAUACUGAAACUCUUCUUGCCUCAGUUUUCUCAUCAAUACAAUGGGUUUGUUUUUGAGGAUUAAAUGGAAAAAACAAAAAGGCAGGGUAAGUGCUCACUGUUGGUCUAUUGUCCGUUUUCAGUAAAUAUCAGUUUUGAUUAUCAAUAAGGUCCGGUGGAUAUGAGUCCACUGGGAAGAUGUAUUUGGAAACGUCGUGUGAACACAAGUAUGUCAUGAAUCCGCUCGUACGAUUUGUCCUGCGUUCUUCGCCUCUGGAACUAGCACAGAGAAGAUAGGUGCUGUUUUCCAGGACGCCCGAGAUUCCUGGACGUGGAGAAAUGCAGGACUGUGCGCCAGGUUACCGGGUGUCGGACGGAAGGGUGAUUCCCAUAUUACGGAAGCUUCUUUUAACACAUGGUUAUGGGGCCCGGGCAUGACACGGGGCCUCCCAAGGGCCUUGGUCCCCAAUGUCAGAGCCUGGGUUUGGGGGCCUCCCCCCAACAUCUCUCACGUCUUACUUUGUCGUGGCCUCUUCUGUGCCCACCUGCUCACGUCUGGGGCAACAGACCCCGGCCCUUUACCAUUUUUCUCAAUAAAUGAAUUUCACUCAGGAGACGGAUUGUGGAAAACUGUCCUGCGGGUCUGAGGAGUCGCCGGGAGCGACCCUACAGGAGCUCACAGUCUCCCCCGUUUCCCUGCUCUUCCACCCCGAACGGGGCUGCCUUGGCAAUGGCUGACAGCACAUCAGUGACUUUCCUGCCUCCUGCAGCCCCCUGGGAAAUGGAGUCCAGCCCCACCACCUCGCCUGGUUAGAGGUGUUCAAGAAAGUCAGGCCCACGGACCCGAGCUCUGCUUCUGCAGUCUCUGGGUUCAAAUCCAGGGUCUUCAGCUUCCUAACAAUCUUGACCAAGACACUGAAGUUCUCUGCGCAUCUGUUUCCUCCUCUGAAAAAGGGAAGUGUUUUCCUCUGAAAAUGGAACCGAAACCUAGGCUAGAGAUGAGGACUCUGCUCUCCUGGUUCCUCCUGCCUGACCCUGCACCUCUGCUUUUUAUCGGAGAUGAGCUGAAACCCCUUCCUAAUCUGCUGUCACCUUACAAACAGAAUUCCAUCUCUUCUGCAUAGCAGAGUAGGAAAGCAGACGUAGUCCCAUGUUAGGCUAUGCUGAGCUCCAGAAGGGUAAGGCACCAGCUAGGACAAAAAUCAGGAAAAAAGACACCAUUCAGCGUGGGAGAAGGUCAUGGAGAGGCUGUGACCACCAGCUGGCCUGUGAGAUCCUCCUUUGGGAUGUGCUCUCUGUCCCCCCACUCUGGUCCCAUAGCAGGAGCCAUUUUCAAGGACUCCACCUUGAGACAGCGCACCGUUGUGGAGACCACCUGGCCAGCAGACGUGGCUGGACCCCGUCAGGCCUCUCUACAAAUGGAAGAUCCUGGCGGGUGGAUGCAGAGACCUCCUCGCUGGGUGGUACCCAAGGCAAGCCUGGCAAGUUUUGGAGUGACAAGGCACUGUUACUGGAUCCCAGUGGCCAGGGCUCCUUGACAAGAGCGGGAACCAGCAUGGAGCCAGCUGGUGGCAGGCGUGUCCGUGUAAGAGGCCAGGCUGAUACGGAAACACUGCCCGAGCCACAUCACAGGGGAAGAGAAAUGUGUGGGAUAAGACUGAGUUUUUGGAGUCAAAGUUUCUCAUCUUUGUUACAUUACAAAGGAACCAGGAGCACCUUCCUUAUGGAUUACACUGGGCCAAGGACGGGCUCUCUGGAAAUCAGUGCCGUGACUUUCACCCCUGCUGGUCUUUGAGUCUGGAGAAGAGUCAGGCGUGCAGCUGGCAAGAGAUGUGCCUCUGCAUGUGUUUGCAGGCUGAGCUCUUGAUGGAAUGUGUGGGGGGCUGCAUUACAAAGCGCUAAGCAAGCAGAUCACCCUUUGAGCACAUUUGCGUAGCUUCGGUUUCUACCUUUGAUAAAGCACAGAUUAAUUCCAUUUGCAUACCUCCUCCUUCACUUGGAACACUUGCCAGCAUUCAUUAAGACCGUGUUAGCAAAACAUCCUCUACUGAACCAUCAAAGCCUACAAAUGACUUGUUACUAGGGAGCUUAAUUCGGGUGGAGGUGGGGAAGGAAGAGUAGAGACAGAUGUGAGAUGGCGCACGCGUGCUUACGUGCGUGCUGAG
Mustela erminea (ermine) is the source of this 3418-nucleotide long non-coding RNA. RefSeq lists it as uncharacterized. The record is from RefSeq and is a predicted model, not a curated record. The transcript has 4 exons. Lineage: Eukaryota; Metazoa; Chordata; Mammalia; Carnivora; Mustelidae.